CAAUAGCGUAUAUUUAAGUUGCUGCAGUUAAAAAGCUCGUAGUUGGAUUUCGGGUGGGAAUGGCCGGUCCGCCGUUUCGGUGUGCACUUGCUACGCCCACCUUGCUGCCGGGGACGUGCUCUUGAGUUCACGCUCGGGACACGGAGUCGGCGAGGUUACUUUGAGUAAAUUAGAGUGUUCAAAGCAGGCCUACGCUCUGAAUACAUUAGCAUGGAAUAACACGAUAGGACUCUGGCCUAUCUUGUUGGUCUGUAGGACCGGAGUAAUGAUUAAGAGGGACAGUUGGGGGUAUUCGUAUUCCAUUGUCAGAGGUGAAAUUCUUGGAUUUUUGGAAGACGAACUACUGCGAAAGCAUUUACCAAGGAUGUUUUCAUUAA
This 377-nucleotide ribosomal RNA is filed under the name uncultured eukaryote. Its description in RNAcentral is "partial 18S ribosomal RNA". It matches the Rfam family "Eukaryotic small subunit ribosomal RNA", at positions 592 to 976 of the family's 1831-position model. The record is from RNAcentral.